RNAcentral lists this small RNA (253 nucleotides) under Gemmatimonas sp. RNAcentral describes it as "partial 16S ribosomal RNA". It matches the Rfam family "Bacterial small subunit ribosomal RNA", at positions 524 to 776 of the family's 1533-position model. Lineage: Bacteria; Pseudomonadati; Gemmatimonadota; Gemmatimonadia; Gemmatimonadales; Gemmatimonadaceae. RNAcentral also lists the same sequence under 1 other name. The record is from RNAcentral.
UACGGAGGGUGCGAGCGUUGUCCGGAAUCACUGGGCGUAAAGGGCGCGUAGGCGGCUCGGUAAGCGUGUGGUGAAAGCUCGGGGCUCAACCCCGAGUCGGCCGUGCGAACUGUCGAGCUUGAGCACUGUAGAGGCAGGUGGAAUUCCGGGUGUAGCGGUGGAAUGCGUAGAGAUCCGGAAGAACACCGGUGGCGAAGGCGGCCUGCUGGGCAGUUGCUGACGCUGAGGCGCGACAGCGUGGGGAGCAAACAGG